CGUGUAGGCGGCCGAAUAAGUCAGAUGUGAAAUCCCUGGGCUUAACCCAGGACGUGCAUUUGAAACUAUUCGGCUGGAGUAGGGGAGAGGAAAGUGGAAUUCCUGGUGUAGAGGUGAAAUUCGUAGAUAUCAGGAGGAACACCGGUGGCGAAGGCGACUUUCUGGCCCUAUACUGACGCUGAGACGCGAGAGCGUGGGUAGCAAACA
This 207-nucleotide ribosomal RNA is filed under the name uncultured Syntrophaceae bacterium. RNAcentral describes it as "partial 16S ribosomal RNA". It matches the Rfam family "Bacterial small subunit ribosomal RNA", at positions 568 to 774 of the family's 1533-position model. The record is from RNAcentral. Lineage: Bacteria; Pseudomonadati; Thermodesulfobacteriota; Syntrophia; Syntrophales; Syntrophaceae.